This 253-nucleotide ribosomal RNA is filed under the name uncultured bacterium. RNAcentral describes it as "partial 16S ribosomal RNA". It matches the Rfam family "Bacterial small subunit ribosomal RNA", at positions 524 to 776 of the family's 1533-position model. The record is from RNAcentral.
UACGGGGGGGGCAAGCGUUGUUCGGAAUUACUGGGCGUAAAGGGCGUGUAGGCGGCCAACUAAGUCCGACGUGAAAUCCCCAGGCUUAACCUGGGAACUGCGUCGGAUACUGGAUGGCUUGAAUCCGGGAGAGGGAUGCAGAAUUCCAGGUGUAGCGGUGAAAUGCGUAGAUAUCUGGAGGAACACCGAUGGCGAAGGCAGCCCCCUGGGUCAAGACUGACGCUCAUGCACGAAAGCGUGGGGAGCAAACAGG